Molecule: ribosomal RNA, 253 nt
Filed under: uncultured bacterium
Lineage: Bacteria
Description: partial 16S ribosomal RNA
Rfam family: Bacterial small subunit ribosomal RNA
Source: RNAcentral
UACGUAGGUGGCAAGCGUUGUCCGGAAUCAUUGGGCGUAAAGCGCGCGUAGGCGGCCCGGUAAGUCCGCUGUGAAAGUCAAAGGCUCAACCUUUGAAUGUCAGCGGAUACUGCCAGGCUAGAGUCCGGAAGAGGCGAGUGGAACUCCUGGUGUAGCGGUGGAAUGCGCAGAUAUCAGGAAGAACACCAACGGCGAAGGCAGCUCGCUAGGACGGUACUGACGCUGAGACGCGAAAGCGUGGGGAGCGAACAGG